UACACACCCCUGAAGUAUUCUGAAGGAGGAACGUUUCAUAGUGAAGAAAGGAAAUAAAUGGUUCUACAGAGAAACCUCUCCAAUGACAGAGAGCUGUUCACAACAGCAUGGCCUAACAGUCCUAAAAUGUUAAUGUGGCCCAAACCUAGCAGAAAAAUCCAAAGCUAAAGGAAUGCAUAUUCUCUGGUGUAAAAAGUGCAAAUAGUGAAAUAGAAAAAUCCCCUGUCAUUUGAGAAGUAGCCACUUUCAUAGCCCUAUUUUAUACAAAUACUCCUUCCUAUAUUAAGAUAUUUAACAUGUUGUGGUCAUAUUAUAUACACUGUUUACAAUAGUAUGCACAACUUUCCAUAUUAGCACAUAUAUAUCUACCAUAACACAUUUCAUUUUAUAUGUAUAAACUGCCCACAGGGCUGCAGUGAACACCACAGAAGUAUAUGCACAUUUAAGUGUCAAUACCUACUAUGAAAAUCCCCUAUAUAUAAGGAUAAAUAUUGUUCCACGAACUUCUGUUUCAGUUGUGCGUGUUCGUGAACGUGUGUGGAUACUAGGUUAAGAUGUAAAAUGCAGUAUGUUUAUUGUGGGUUGAAAUUUUUAAGAGUCAAGCUCUGCAGGCCC
RNAcentral lists this long non-coding RNA (615 nucleotides) under Marmota monax (woodchuck). Lineage: Eukaryota; Metazoa; Chordata; Mammalia; Rodentia; Sciuridae. The record is from RNAcentral.